Molecule: ribosomal RNA, 811 nt
Filed under: uncultured marine bacterium
Lineage: Bacteria
Description: bacterial SSU rRNA
Rfam family: Bacterial small subunit ribosomal RNA
Source: RNAcentral
GCAAGUCGAACGAAGUAGCAAUACUUAGUGGCAGACGGGUGAGUAACAUGUAGGUAUCUACCCUUUGGCCUGGAAUAACACGAGGAAACUUGUGCUAAUACCGGAUAAGUCUUUACGGAGAAAGCUUUAUGCACCAUUGGAUGAGCCUGCACUUGAUUAGUUUGUUGGUGGGGUAAUGGCCUACCAAGACUGUGAUCAAUAGCUGAUUUGAGAGGAUGAUCAGCCACAUUGGGACUGGGACACGGCCCAAACUCCUACGGGAGGCAGCAGUGGGGAAUCUUGCACAAUGGAGGAAACUCUGAUGCAGCGAUGCCGCGUGAGUGAAGAAGGCCUUUGGGUUGUAAAGCUCUUUCGUCGGGGAAGAAAAUGACUGUACCCGAAUAAGAAGGUCCGGCUAACUUCAUGCCAGCAGCCGCGGUAAUACGAAGGGACCUAGCGUAGUUCGGAAUUACUGGGCUUAAAGAGUUCGUAGGUGGUUGAAAAAGUUAGUGGUGAAAUCCCAGAGCUUAACUCUGGAACUGCCAUUAAAACUUUUCAGCUAGAGUGUGAUAGAGGAAAGCAGAAUUUCUAGUGUAGAGGUGAAAUUCGUAGAUAUUAGAAAGAAUACCAAUUGCGAAGGCAGCUUUCUGGAUCAUUACUGACACUGAGGAACGAAAGCAUGGGUAGCGAAGAGGAUUAGAUACCCUCGUAGUCCAUGCCGUANACGAUGUGUGUUAGACGUUGGAAAUUUAUUUUCAGUGUCGCAGCGAAAGCGAUAAACACACCGCCUGGGGAGUACGACCGCAAGGUUAAAACUCAAAUGAAUUGACGG